AUCUUAUCAAGAGUGGUUGAGGGACUGGCCCGAUGAAACCCAGCAACAGCUAGUUUAAAAUGUUAAACUGGAAAUGUGCUAAUUCCUGCAGGAAAUAUCCUGGAAGAUAAGAA
This is a regulatory RNA element of Clostridium sp. HMP27, 113 nucleotides long. It matches the Rfam family "SAM riboswitch aptamer (S box leader)". From Rfam's summary of the family: The SAM riboswitch is found upstream of a number of genes which code for proteins involved in methionine or cysteine biosynthesis in Gram-positive bacteria. The SAM riboswitch acts at the level of transcription termination control. The predicted structure consists of a complex stem-loop region followed by a single stem loop terminator region. The record is from Rfam. NCBI's taxonomy places the organism in Bacteria, Bacillati, Bacillota, Clostridia, Eubacteriales, Clostridiaceae.